GCAUAUGAUGCCAUGUAGUUAGAUGAAGUAUUAAACGAUUAUUAGUAUGUUAAUUUAAUUAAUUAACUUAAUCAUAUUUUACCUAAUUAUACACAAUUAAAUAUUUACCAAAAUCUUUUUCACUUUUCCUUUUAUUUCAUUUCACCCCCUCUGUAAAAAAUUUCCAAUUUGAGAUGGAAAAUCGAAAGGUCAAGACGAAUGUUCCUUCGAUUAAAAUCUAGUUUGUAGCGCAUUUCGUCAUUAAAUUUACUUUUGACCAGAUGUUGGAGUUCUUCGAGUUGAAAGGAGCUGAGCUUAGUCGAUGUUAGCAGUCGGCGAUUCCACGAUAUUGUUUUCUAUUUGGACAGAAAAAGUACCUCGUAAAGGUUAGACUUUUUAUUUUCCUUCUUUAUGUGGUUUUGAUUUCUAGCAUGUUUUGUUGAUGCUACUGUAAAAAUACAGAAGUUCUUGUUGCAUGUGCUUUAAUUUUCUAGGCCCUAGUCUUAUAUUAUUUGUUAUCUGUUUUGCAUAGGUUUUGAAAUGUCAUUUGAAUCGUUACAGUAAGAUUCUUCCAUGGAGAAAAAAUCUCUAGGGAUAAGAUAAACUCAUUUACAAAGGAUGAUUAUAUAGGUAAAAUUAUUAUUUGCACUUGAUGUUGAUGUAGAUAGGUUCUCUUAGUUAUAGUUACUAGAUUAUGUUAAAGAGUAUGGCUACAAUCCUUCUUCUACUCGUAUUUGUAAGACCACCUAGCGGUCCUGGUUUGGUAGAAACUAAAGUGGACAUGAAUACUAUGGGCAGUUGUCAUGUGUUAAAAUAUGGAGACAUGUUGGAUGUAUUUGUAGAGGACAUGGUUGAUGAACCAAUAGUGGACCCCACCCCAUCCCCCCACCUUUCUUUAGAAUUCCCUAUUUUGUAGGUAGAAUUUGGUCAAACUUCGGGAUUCCGAAAGUUUGGGCACUUAUGAAAGGGCAUAUAAUGCAGCUAAUACCCCUAUUGAACUUAUUUCCCCCUAAAUCUACUACCCCUCCUGAACCAACUGUCUUCUCCCCCCCCCCCCCCCCCNNNNNNNNNNNNNNNNNNNNNNNNNNNNNNNNNNNNNNNNNNNNNNNNNNNNNNNNNNNNNNNNNNNNNCCCCCCCCCCCCCAAAAAAAAAAACUACUGCCUUUGUUGAAUCUAAAGAUGGCUUUAGCACUAAGGAUAGUUCUAACUAAUUCAGAUCAUGUAGAGUUAUUUGAAGAAUGACAAGAGUAUUAUGGUAUUGAUAUACAUGAGGAAUAUAGGUCAUUUAGGGAUGAAAGAAAAAUUGAGCAAAGAAAAAAGAGAAAAGUUAGAGUUCCUGCAACUGAGAGUGUUAAAUUGGGUAAGGAAACGGUAGAUGUAAGGUAUGGUGAGUAUGCGGCUAAGAUUGGGUCAGGGCAAAGGAAUUCUUUGGAGGGUAAAAUAGGAGGGGAUGAACCAUAGUAUCCCUCAGAUGAAGCUUCCAACUUUGAAACUGAUGAUGAUGAUGAUGAUGACGAUGAUAAAGGUGAUGGAGAUGUUAAUAAAAAAACCUAAAACAAGAAGAAGAAGAAGAAGAAAUAUAAAAAGAAAGUGAUAUUUGAUCCAAAUUGUAAGUCUAUUGUGUGGGAGCUUGGUCUUACAUUUUAGAGUAUUGACAAGUUUAGAGAAACUUUUACUAGUUUUACAGUUAAAGAAAAGUGAUAGUUGAAAAAUAUAUUAAUCAGCCAAAUAGGGUAAGGUUUAAGUGCUAUGAUGGUUGUCCAUGGCAUCUUUUUGCUAGUUAUGACUCAAGGACUAAAGACUUAGUUAUGACUCAAGGACUAAAGACUUAUGGUGAAGAAGUACAUUCCAAUAACCACAUAAGAACCUACAAACAAGAAUAAGCUAUGCAACAGCAAAUACCUGGCUAAAAAAUUCGAAGAUAGAAUAAGAGAGCAACCUAACAUUAGAAUUUUAAAUUUUCAAGAACUUGUAAGAAAAUAAUUAGGUCUGUAUGUUGGGAGAUUGGUUUGUAGGAAAGCAAGUAACACGGUUUUGAAUAAAAUAAUGGGUGACCAUCUGCUGGAGUUUAGAAAAAUUUUGGACUAUAUAUGUGAAAUGGUUAGAUCCACUCCUGGUAGUAUAUGUGUUGUCAAACUAAGUGAAAGACAUUUGAUGGUAUCAAGAAAAUCUUUGUUGCCUUCUACAUCUCUUUUACUACAUUGAAUAAGGCUUUCAAGGCUGGGUAUGUAACGACCCGAUCGGUUGUUUUGAGAUCUAGCGCGUUGUUCAGCGGUCUGAGGCCAUGAGCAAUUUCGUUUCAGGUAUACUGACUUGUGUGUAUGGUCGGAAUUGAAAUUCAGAAAGUUCAAAGUUAAAUUUAAAUGAAAAUUCCUAUUUCGGAAGCUUUAAGUUGAAAGAAUGAACUAGAAUUAGAUUUUUGAGUACACGACCUCAAAAUAUGGAUUUGAAGGUUCCAACAUGUUUGUAUGAUGAUUUUGGACUUGGGAGUAUGCCCGGUGCGGGUUUUGGAUAACCCGGGAACAUUUUGGCGCCUAUUGUGGAAGUUAGUAUUUUGGAAGAAAUUUUUUAAGUUUGGCUUGAAGUGCAUUUCAGCGUUAUCAAUGUCUAUUUGGGAUUCCAAGACUGGGAGUAUUUACAUAUGGUGAUUCUGAAGUUGGGAGCGCGAUCGAAAGUGAAUUCGAAGCUCCGUAAGUCAUUUUGAAGCCAUUUGGCUAAAGAUAGAAAUUUGAAGGUUUCUGAGAAGUUUGACCGGAAGUGGACUUUUUGAUAUCGGGGUUGAAAUCCGAUUUUGGAAGAUGGAAUAGGUUUGUAAUGUCAAAUAUGACUUGUGUGCAAAAUUUGAAGUCAAUCGGACGUGAUUUGAUAGGUUUCGGUAUCGGAAAUAGAAGUUGAAAACUUCAAAGGUCAUAAAGCUUGGAUUGGAGGUCGAUUCAUGGUUUUGGCGUUGUUUGAUGUGAUUUGAAGUCUCGAGAAGGUGCGCAAUGUAUUUUGGGAUUGGUUGGUAUGAUUGGUUGGGGUCUCAUGUGAAUUCCGGGUGGUGAGCGGAUCAAAAGUUAGAUUUUUGGAAAAAGUUGAGCAGCUGGUAUCUGCUAUUUCUGCUUCUGCGAAAAUGGGACCGCAGAAGUGGCCCUGCAGAGGCGAAAUGUGGACCGCAAAAGCGGUUUUGACCAAUAGUGAAGGGGACGGCAGAUGCGGUUGAGCAGACGCAUACGAGGAACCGUACCUGCGUUGGCAAGUCGCAGAAGCGGAAGAGAGAGGCCUCGUUUGGGACCACAGAAGUGGCCUGGGUGUCUGCAUAACCGAAAUUGCAUAGGCGGAAGUAAUUCUGUAGAAGCGGAAAGUGCUAGGGCAUAGGGGUUGUUUUAAAAAUCGAUUUUGGCUCAUUUAUCUCAUAUUUUCAUGACUUGGGCGAUUUUUUGGGAGCUUAAAGAAGGAAUUUUCAUCGUCAAUAAUUGAGGUAAGUUAAUCCCCACCCAUUUUGAGUUAAACAUAUUAAUUUUGUGUGGAUUUGGGCAUGAAAAUUAGUAUAAAAAUUGAGGUUUUGGUGGAAAACAGAGAAAAUUAUAUUCUUGGAUUUUGACCACGAUUUUGAGUAGGAAAUUAAGAGAAAAUUAUAUAUUUGUGUUCCUGAGGUCAUGGGCAAAGUUUAUCUUCGAAAAAUUUCGGAUUUCGGGCAUGUGGGCCCGAGGGCAUUUUUUAUCAACUUUUCGUUCAGGGUUAAGAAUUUAUAAGGCAAAGUUUAUCUUCAAAAAAUUUUGGAUUCCGGGCACGUGGGCCCGAGGGCAUUUUUUUCAAAUUUUUGUUCGGGGUUAAAAAUUGAUACAAAUUGAGUUGUAGAGUUUAAUUAAGCAUAUAUUAAUGGUUUUGAAUGACCAUUGGCUAGUUUUGGAGUAUUUUGCGUGGGUUCGAGCUGUCGGAAGGAUGUAGAGGGCCGGUAAUGGAUCUUCGGGCGAGGUGAGUCUCCUUUCUAAUCUUGUGAGGGAGAAUCUACCAUAUAGGUGAAUUUAAUUGAUUAUGAGCACCUAUUUGUGGGGGCUACUUAUGCACGAGGUAACGAGAGUCCAUGCGUAGCUAAUAUUUUUCUAUUGUUCGGGUAGUCUAGGACCCGAAAGCAUGUCAUACUUGAAUAAAUUGUGAAUCCCUUUAAUCGCUUGAAUUGCCUAAAUCACAUUAACUUAGUAAAUGAAUGUCAAAGGCAUUAAACUUCAUUUCUUAAAAAUUUGUUAAAGGAGAAUUGGUUUUAUUUGAAUAGAUAUUCCCCGAUAAGCUCUUAUUUUACUGAUUGAGCAUGUAUUCUUAUGUGUACCUUCGUCACCUGCAUGAUUCGCGAGCAGGGUAUGUGUUUAUUUUUGGAACGGGCCGAUCGACUCGGUAAAAUAGAUGCAUUUAUGGUAUGGGCCGCUCGACCCUCGGCAGUGCACACUUUACAUUUGUGUUGGAGCGGGCCGUCGACCUCGGCAUGAUGUGUGCGUGUUUGUGCUAUUAUCUUGAACUCAUUUCAGUUGUUUUAUGACAUUAUGGCUCGAGAUCAUUUUAUUUUUAAUAACAAGAAAUCUAAGGAAAUUUUCCAUGAAAGAAUGAUAUGACAACUUGUUUUCCCAUGUCUGAAUUAGAAUCAUGUUUGUAAAACAAAUUCACUAUUUGAAUAUAUUUACUACGGAUAAAUAGUCAUUGGACUGCUAGUGAGUGUUAGAGUUGACCAUCUUGUCUCUACUCCUUCGGGAUUAGGCGGGACACUCAUUGGGUACACGUUAUUUUUGUACUCAUACUACACUUGCUGUGCAUUUUGUUGCACAGAUUUAUUAUGUGGCUCAUGGCUUAGCAGCAUGACGGGCGCAGAGACUAGGUGAGCUGUAUUUCUUCGAGACGAUUCCACAGCUAGUAUAGUCUCUUGUAGAAUUUUAUUUACUUUCCGUCCAAUUGUAUUCCGGGCAGUUGUUGUACCUAUUUGGUUUCUUUUAGAAAAUUGAUCAUGUACUUGUGACUCCGGGUUUUGGGAUGUAUUUGGAUUCGUUCAGAAAAUUUGAAAGUUGAUUUAAUAUUUCCUUAUUAAUUGGAAGGAUAAACUGAGCAAUGCUUUAAUCAUAAUAAAAAAGUGUUUUCGAAAUUAUUAAAAUAAGAAUUUAAUUAAGUAUUUUAGUUGGUUGGCCUGACGGCGGUGUCCGGCGCCGCCACGACCUUGAGUGGAUUUUUGGUCGUGACAACAUGGCAUCAGAGCACUACGUUCCCGUCGGUCUCACGAGUCAUGAGCAAGUCUAUUAGAGUCCCGUGAAUUGGUACGGAGACGUUUGUCCUUAUCCUUGGAGGCUACAUGGCUGUUAGGAGUACUUCCCUUCUUGAUUUCCUUAUUGUGCAAUUCGAUUUCUCUGAGGUAUAUGCCUUUGUUUCCUUCCUACUCAAUCUUACGCGACGCGAGCGCUUGCUAGAAAUCGAGAAUUUGAAGAAUUGAAUGGAACUACAAAUGUGGUGCGGGAUAAUUUUUUCGGUAUAGUUGAUCGGACUAUUAUAGCCGCUUUAUGGAAGGGUAUACUAUUAUUCAGCUCAGUAACACAACUUCUAAGAGCCUUGAGGCUAGGCACAGGUAGCCAUGAUGCUUAUAAGCUAUUAUUCCGCGAUGUGGCUAUGAUGGUAGGAUAAUUGCCCAUGUGUCGAGGAAGUGGACGAAUUGAAGGGAAGUUUACUCAGCAUGUAAUCAAGGGAUCCAGUAUUUUAUUCCUGGCAAGGGAAAGGCAGUCGGACUAAGGAUGGUCAGAUCUGGGCUGGUGAAAGUAAUGAGACCUAGUAUUUGCAAGCGUGGUGGAGCUUUUCUUCUAUGAUGGGGUGUCGUGGCCCUAGCGGAACGUACCAAGCUCGUCGAUGUAAUAAACUGCUAGGAUUUGCCUUUAUGGCAGGAUAAUUUGAAAUAGUAUUGGAGAUACAGCUGUCAGAUAUAUACCAAGUUCGUUGAUAUUAUAAUCUGCUACAAUUCGCCUUUAUGGCAUGAUAUGGUGAAAUAGUAUUAGAGAUAUAGCUGUCAGAUAUCGCACAGUGCGGUGGUUUAAGAUCGAAUUAUAAUUUCUAAUGUUGAUGGAUCGAUAAAGAUGACCUUCGGUGUCACGACCCUAGUUCACCAAUUGUGAAUAUGUCAUGACGGCACCAGUCUUCGCGACUAGGUAAGCCUUAACACAUUGUGAAAAAUAACAGUGCGGAAAUAAAACAAUAACAAACACUAAAUAGAACAGGAAAUGUAUUCGGUGCUGCUUGGAACAUACACUGCACACACCACUUCUGAAAGAUAACAUCCCAAAACCCGGAAUCCAACAUGCAACACAGGUCUAAGACAAAUGAAAAUACAGCUUUAAUGUAUGAAAAGUCUAAUACAACAGAAAUAAUAAGGAACAGUAUUGCUAACUAAGAUAGAAAGGACGGAGACUCUCUGGUCUGCGGACGUAGCAGUAUACCUCAAGUCUCCGAUAGCAAGAUCCAAACUCACUAAUGAUACGCCUGGUCGGAUGCACCUAGAUCUGCACAACAAAAUUGUGCAGAAGAGUAUCAUGAGUACAACACAGCGGUACUCAGUAAGUGCCAAGCCUAACCUCGGUUGGGUAGUGACGAGGAAGGUUGAGGCCCUUACUGAGAUAAAUAUAAGAGUAAAUAUGAAAUGGAAUAACAGUAGGAAUACAGUAAGUCUCGAAUAUCUAACGAAAUAAUAAAAAGAACGAAACAGGCUAUAAUACAAUUCAACAAAACAAGUACAAUCACUGCAGGCUAUUUGUCAUGCGGGGAUCUCCUGAUAUCUCGAGGAUCUCCUGGUAUCCCCAUUAUAUACACAAGGAAUCUCCAAGUAUCCAGGGGAUCUACCAGUAUCCUCAUCAUAUACACAAGGGAUCUCUAAGUAUCCAGAGGAUCUCUUAGUAUCCUCCGGUUAAUCAAUUCUGCGCUGAGGAUCUCUUAGUAUCCGCCAGUUAAUCAAUUCCUGUACCAGGGAUCUCUUAAUAUGUCGCUUUUCCAAAUCUCGGAAUAAAUUACGAACAGGGGAAACUCCUGAGAUGUCGUCCCGCAUUCCCAAUAGUAAACACACUGCAACAACCAAUAUUUAGCAGAGAGGAUCUAAGUGCGCCAACAAGUAAAAUCUAACGUUCUAGCAUUCUUCACAAGAAAAGACAGAUAUUGCAGUUUAGUCAAGUAGAGCAAAUAUGUUACUAGCAUGCUUUCCUUAAGCUAAAACAAGUGAAAUUUCAUUAUUAACAGUUAAACAUGUGAAGAACACGCAGUCUACAUAAGUCAAUUAGGGGUGAAUUUCAACAACCAGCACAAGUACACGCCCGUCACCUUACGCACAAGGCAUUUAAUCAACAGCAAGGAUAUCCUAAGGGGAGAGCUCCCCCACACAAAGUUAGGCAAGCCACUUACCUGGAAUUGGUACAAAACCGGUAAGAUGCCAUGAGUAUCCGACUUCUAGUGCCCCAAAUCUAUUCAAACCAAUUACAUAUUUUAAAUAACAUCGUAAGUAACUAAUUACACUGUUAAAAUUAAAUCCAAGGCACGAAAAUAGGUGAAAGGACAAAAAUUCCCCUCAGGGCAACAUAUUGGAAUCUAAUAAUUUUUACAUUUUUAGAAACCUCUUACUCUCACGAGUCUAACCAUAUAAAAAUCUCCCAAAUUGGAGGUCAAAUGCCCAUUCAAAACGCAAAUAGUUUAGCCAAAGAAGUUUUUACCCAAAUUACCCAAUUUUUUAUCCAAAUUUCGAAUUUAAAUGAUAGAUUUAACCACAAAAGGAUGGAAUAUAACCAAAAAGGAUCAUAGAAACGUUACUCAAUAAUUUUCUCUUCAAAACCCUCUCAAAGUCGCCCUUGCCCGAGCUCAAACUUGAUUUUUCAACAUAUGAAAUUAUCAGAUUUCUCUUAAAUGAAUAGCACUUUCCGCUUUUGCGGACCAUGGACCGCAUUUGCGGUCCCGCUUUGGCAGAAAAUUAACCGUUUCUGCAGUCUCACUUAACGAGCCCAGAAUCCGCUUUUGCAGACCUUUCACCGCUUCUGCGAUUUCGCAUACCCGGUCUAGAGUCCGCUUCCACGGUUUCUGAAGAAAGGUCCCCUUUCUUCUUUUGCGACUAACCAGACGCUUAUGCGGCGCCACUUCUGUGGUCCCCAAGCCACAGAAGCGGAAACAACAGAAGCUGCAACAAAAUUUCCAUUCUAACUCCCAAAACCAACCCAUCGAGCAUUCGAAACACAUCUGAGGCCCUCGGGACCUCAACUAAAACUAUAAAACUAUCCUUUAACAUCAUCCAAACUUGUACCAAUACUUGAAUCACCUAAAAUAAUGUCGGAAACACAAUUUAAUCAAUGAUUUGAACUUAAAACUUCCAAAACUUAACCAAACUCGCUUUCGAUUCAAAACCUAACCAAAACACGUCCGAUUGACCUGAGAUUUUGCACGCACGUCCCAAAUGACAUGAAGGUGCUACAGUAACUUCUGGAAUCCCGUUCCAACCCUCAAAUCAAAAAUUCAAUAUCGGAUCAGAAACUUCAAAAUUCUAACUUUCAGUAUUUCUAACCAAGUUGAGUUGGACCUCCAAAACACAUUCCGGACACGCUCCCGACCCUGAAAUCACCUAACUGAGCUAACUAAACCAUUGGAUCUCCAUUCCGAGGUUUUCUUGACAAUGUUCUAAUUACAUACCAUUUUCCAACACUUAAGCUCUCAUUUAGGGACUAAGUGUCCCAAAACACUCCGAAUUCUAUCACCGAACAUCCUGACAAACAAAAAUAGCAUAAAUGAAUUUAGGGGAAGCAGUUAAUGGGGGGAACGGGGCAUAAAUCCAAAGAUGAACUACCGUGUCGUCAUAUCCUCCUACACUUAAACAUUCAUUCAUCCUCUAACGAGCAUAUAGAACAUACUUAAAGUUGUAAAAAGAUGAGGGUAUCAGCUGUGCAUAUCCCGCUCGAUCUCCCAAGUCAUCUCCUUAGCUGACAGACCCCGCCACCGAACCCUUUUGGCAAACCAAAAUAGCAGAAAUGAACUUAGGGGAAGCAGUUAAUGGGGGAACGGGGUAUAAAUUUCAAAGACGACCGACCGGGUCGUCACAUUCAGAAAGGCUAAAAGAUUAGCUGCUAUUGUGGGUUCAAGUGCAUGAAGAUAGGUUUUAUUUAAGGCAAAAAUUGAGCAAUAGAGCAUGAAGAAAGACAUGUGGGAAGUAUCAGGCAGUGUUUAAAACUUCUAGGAGGCCAAGUAUGAGGAGCAAGGUCGAGGGUUUAAUUAUAAAGAUGAGUUUCGCCAAAGUGGGAGAGUGGUAGGUGUUGCAUAUGGGCUUGGUAGUAGGACGACUACACCUUAAGGAGAGUUUAGAUUGAAUUAGGUAUUUUGAUGAUUAGUAAUUGAAGCCUACAAGUAUGAUGUGAAGUAUGGGGCUAUUUCUGUCAUAGUGAAUGUACCCCGUGCAGUGGCGUGGGAAGAUGUCGGGAGGUGAUUCCCCUAGGUGGGUUAUUCCCCGUGAGCAAGUUAGCGGUCGCAUGGUUGGCGAAGCUUCUGUAAUGAAUUAUAUUGGUUGUCCAUCAAAGAGAUCGAUCGUACAAAUGUGUAUGAUGAAUCAGAAUAUGAAAGAUGGGGAUUUAGAGGAAAAUUCCAAUAAAUUUUGAUAAUUUAUGACGUGAGGUUAUGCCCAUAAGAGGUAAAGAGGUCGGGCGAACUCAAGAAUUAUUAAAUGAUGGCUUCAAGCUAAAUGGGAGAGUCACACCGCUUAUGAUUGGGCUGUAUGAUUAGCUACUUGCGUGAUUUCUGUUUACUAGCAUAUUGAUGGGCUAUUUCAACUAUGGGAAAAAACCACAAGUGGUAGUUUGAGCAAAUGAAUUGUUGGAGGCAUGAUAUGGUUGGCCUUAUUGGCUCAUGUUCGGACUUGGAAAAAAGUUCAGGAUCUAUGCCUCGUAUAUAUGCAGGUUUUAGAGGAAGUGAUUUUGCCGGGUGUUCUGCGGAGAGAGUGUUCGUGUGUUAUAAAAUCUAUGGAGUGGGUUAUAUUCGGGACCGAGUCAGAGCGUGUUUCUCUCAAUAAUGGCCCUAGUUAAUCCAGUUGUUUAGGUGUGGUGCUCAAUGAUUUUGAGCCUAUGAGUAGGACUACGAAUCAAGCUUUGUUGCAGCUUAUGAGAAGGUGCCCAGACUGUCCUACCAUAUUUGGACUUGCGGGUAGCGUUUAAGAGAUAUGAAAUGGUUCAUGAGAUUCAAGACAGCAUGGUCUCGUGAUGCAAGGUCACUCGGGAUGACUGCAGAUGGAGUAUGCUCUGUGUUGAAUGAAGAGGUAUUAUUCCUAAGGCAAUCAAAGAUAAAUUAGAAGAAGGUAAAAUGGUUAUCCAUAGUUGAAUUGGCAUGUUGGGGCUAGAGAUUAGUUCGGUUCGUGUGAUAAAGUUAUGUGUAUGAUUUGUGGAGGUGCGUGUGAGGUUUUUCGGUCGUUGUAAUUGAUGUUAUUCAAAAGCAUUCUUUGUUAAGGCUUGUUAAGUGAAAGCAAAUUCCGGAAGGGCUAUGGUGGCUUGGACCACUACUUGCAGAUUUUCACAUUCUACGGUUAUGGGAAUUUACCCGUGUGUUGCUAUGAUUCUCCUGAAGAGAGUUAAAUGAAGAGUUUUAUAUGAUGAAGUGUUAGUCUAUCAGUGGUUCUAGAUGUGAUGGAAAUCGUGUCUAUCGUAUAUCGACACAUGGGGUGUUGUGAGUGGUGUGGAAUUUGAAGUGAGGAUUAAGGUUACAGUUUGAUAAUAAGUAUGAUGUCACAAGCUAGGAUGAGCAGGGAGUUUCCAUGUUUUGAGUAAUUGGUAUUGUCUUCAGGGUCACCUAAGAUCGGUGUUUUGUGAGAAAGCCCUUGCAUCCUGGUUAAGAAUUCUAGAUCGCUUUUUAGCGUUAGUGCGUCCGAUGGUUUGGUUAUGCGGACCCGUUAUUUAUUCGAAAGAUUUUAGGAGCGCGUCCCACGUGAAGAUUGUAUAAGUGUGACAUGUAGUCUCUUGAUUGGCUAGGGAUUUAAACCAAGUAUGAGGAUAAUGGUAAUAUCAUUAAAGAUAAUGGUAAUAUCAUUAGUUUGAGAAUUUAUGCCUGGAGGGUACUUUGUUUAUUGAGAUAUGAAUGGAGGAGGUUGCUUCGGUUAUAAUGGUUGUUCCUGUAUAUUACGAGGAAGAAUGAGUUACUAUGAACCUUUGAAAAUUUAUUAGCCAAGUUUGUGCAAUUAGAAAUCGGCUUGAGAUUAGUUAAUCAAGUUAUUUGUGAAUAGGGCUUUAUAUCAGGCCAGUUGUGUUCGUUUCAACGAGCGUUCUCUAUGGAGGAACAGUCAGAGUGUUGUUUUGUCAUCAGCUAUUCAGGUAAUGAUGUAUUGCGUCGUAUGAGUUGUGAAACGGCUUGAUAAAUUCCUUAUAUGUUGAGGUUCCACGUAGCUGUGAUGUUAUAUGACUAGGAUGGAUCCUGAGAUUCAGAUCAUGUAUCGCACCUUAAUGGUGCUUGAGUUUUGUAGGCUAUAAUGCUAUAUGUUUCCUCAGGGAUGGUAUUAUACACCUUAGUGUGUCUAUGACCAACAUUCGGUACUUUGUUGGAAUGAGCAAUUUAUCUCGAUGUAUAUCUCCUUAGGUGAGUUCUACAUGUGGAUCGGGUGGCACGCCGUCAUGGGUAUGUUAUUUGGAUCGGGUGGCACGCUGCCAUAGCUAUGUUGUAUGGAUCGGGUGGAACGCCGUCAUGGUUAUGCUGUUCGGAUUGGGUUUCGUGCCACAAUAGUAUGAUGUUCAAUACAAUCCCCCAUAUUUGCUUUUAUGUGUUUUGUCUCCUAUCCUUCCCAGAAUUCUAGUUCUAGUUGUAAGCUCGCGUCGCAUAUAUGGUUUGCCAGCGGGGUAAUUAGGUCUCCCUUUUCAGAGCUAAGCCUCCUUUGUGUUUCACAUUCUGAUAGGUAGCCUAUUGGCACAUUGUAGCAUCCUAUGGGACUUUUGACCAUGUCCCGGAUGGCUUAUUGCCUGAGCAGUUCGUACUGGGUGAAACGAGUGCAAUUUGAUUAUAUGAAGUGUAUUAAGGAGCCUAAGACCAUUAGAUGGUUCAUGAUGAAGUGAUGAUGCUUGUCAAGAGUAUAGACCCAAUAAAUUAUUGAUUCGGCAGUUGGUUAUGAAUUAGGCGCAUCUUUUCCGUCGUGUUUGUGUUAUAAAAGUUAGAGCAAGACCUAUGUAGGUCGUGAGGUGUGAAGGGAGCAUCUGAUUCAUUGAAUUUUGGCUAAGUUGAUCAUAAAAAUGUUAUUGUGGUCCGGCGGACUUUGUGUUGCAAAGUAAGAAUCCAGCGAAGUUAUGCAGUCAUGUUUGAGGGGCAGCGUGUGGUGAAUGAUUUGGUGAUCUCUUGAUGAAAACGAGCCUGGCAUAGAAUUCCGGAUGUUGGAAUUCGGAUCUAAGUCAUAUUUGCUUAAAUAAAAGGAAAUAUCUUCAGAAUAUAUCGAGCCAAUGUGCUCAGCUAAGCUGCGGCAGCACGAGAAGGUGCAUAAGGUGCUGAUUAGUGAUCUCAGACUACUUCGGUAUAGUUCUCAGCACGUUCGGGUAUGAACGCAUAAUUAAGUGGGAGAGAAUGUAACGAUCCGACCGGUCGUAUUGAGUUCUAGCGUAUCGUUCAGCAAUCUGAGGCCAUGAGCAACUUCAUUCAGGUAUAUUGACUUGUGUGUUUGGUCGAAAUUGAAAUUCAGGAAGUUCGGAGUUAAAUUUAAAUGAAAAAUCUGAUUUCGGAAACAUUAAGUUGAAAGAAUGAACUAGGAUUGGAUUUUUUAGUAAACGACCUCGAUAUCAGGAUCUGAAGGUUCCAACAGGUUCGUAUGAUGAUUUCGGACUUGGGGGUAUACCCGGUGCGGGUUUUGAAUAACCCGGGAAUGUUUUGGCGCCUAUUUUGGAAGUUAGCAUUUUGGAAGAAAUUUCUUAAGUCUGGCUUGAAGGGCAUUUCAGUAUAAUCGAUGUUUUUUUGGGAUUUCGAGACUGGGAGUAGCUCUGUAUGGUGAUUCUGGAGUACGGAGCCCGAUCGGAAGUGAAUUCAGAGGUCCGUAGGUCAUUUUGAAGUCAUUUGGCUAAAGAUAGAAAUUUGAAGAUUUCUGAGAAGUUUGUUUGGAAGUGAACUUUUUGAUAUAGGGGUUGAAAUUUAAUUCCGGAAGUUGGAAUAGGUCUGUAAUGUCAUAUUUGACUUGUGUGCAAAAUUUGAAGUCAGUCAGACGUGAUUGGAUAGGUUUCGGCAUCGGAAAUAAAAGUUGAAAACUUCAAAGUUUAUAAUGCUUGGAUAGGAGGUCGAUUCGUGGUUUUGACGUUAUUAGAUGUGAUUUGAGGCCUCGAGAAGGUCCGCAAUGUGUUUUGGGACUGGUUGGUAUGAUUGGUUGGAGUCCCGAGGCCUCAGGUGGAUUCCGGGUGGUUAACGGAUCGAAAGUGGGAUUUUUGGAAAUAGCUGGACAGCUGGUAUCUGAUAUUUCCGCUUUUGCAGAAAUGUGACCACAGAAACGGCCACGUAAAGGCGAAAUGUGGACUGCAAAAGCGGUUUUGACCAAUAGUGAAGCGGACCGCAGAUGUGGUCGAGCAGCCGCAUAAGCGGAACCGCACCUGCAGUUGGUAAGUCGCAUAAGCGAAAGAGAGGGGCCUCGUUUGGUACCGCAUAAGCGGUCUGGGUGUCCGCAUAAUCGGAACCACAUAGGCGGAAGCAAUUCCGCAAAAGUGGAAAGUGCUGGUGCAGAAAGGUUGUUUUAAUAAUCGGAUUUUGGCUCAAUGAAACAAUUGCAAUUAUUCAACCACAAGUCAGAAAGAUGCCAGGGAGGUCUAUCAAAAAAAAAAAAAAGGAAAACUGACUAGAGAUGAUACGUAAAACAUGUAACGAAAGGGAACAUAACAAAAGGGGGUGUCAUAAGACCAAGAGUGCAACUUCUAAUGCAGCAUUAAUUGAAGCACCAAGUGGUAGUUUUGUACCAAGUGCAACACCAAAAACUAGAAGAGAAAGGGAUAGACAAAAAGUUUCAUUAAUGUAGCAAGACCCUACAAGAGACCCAAACUGAUUUUGAAAUAGAAAGUACUUCACCAUCCACAAUGCAAGUCUUACCAUAUUUUAUAUAAUGGCUAAGCUAAGUUGUAAAUUCUAUUAACACUAACCAAUUUUUAUCUUUCUUUAACAGCCUAGAAUGCCUUCUAAUAGGUCCAAAAAUACUAUUUCUUUAGAAGAGGUCACUGGAGAUAGUGCACACACAUCAUCAACUGGAGUGAAGCAGAAAGGAAAAGCAUCUAUGACACAAAAACAGCUCUAGCAGAUGAGAGGAAAGGUGGUCAUCCAGACAAGAUCCAAGGCUAAACAAUUGAGUCAAGGAAGCUCCACAACACAUACCUGAAUGCUUUAAAAAUGUCAUGUGUACUUUUAUAUCGUAUGAUUAUGUAGCUUAGACUAUAUUUAAUUACUCUUUUUGUGUUGAUAGUUGUGACUGCUAUAGUUUGGAAACAACUUCUACUGUUAUUGUGGUAACUAAUGAAUGAGCAGCAAUGACUGCAAUUUGGACAGAUUUGUGAUUACUAUGUUAUUUCAAUGUAUAAUUCUAGACUUCUUGUUGCCUGCAAUUCUAUUGAUUCAAGAUACAAAAUUAUUUACAAAAGAUAUUCACCAACAUGGAAUACAAGUAAUCCUACAC
Molecule: long non-coding RNA, 14602 nt
Filed under: Nicotiana benthamiana
Lineage: Eukaryota; Viridiplantae; Streptophyta; Magnoliopsida; Solanales; Solanaceae
Description: long non-coding RNA (NBEN_LNC017089)
Source: RNAcentral